RNAcentral lists this ribosomal RNA (317 nucleotides) under uncultured delta proteobacterium. RNAcentral's name for it is "bacterial SSU rRNA". It matches the Rfam family "Bacterial small subunit ribosomal RNA", at positions 8 to 309 of the family's 1533-position model. The record is from RNAcentral. Lineage: Bacteria; Deltaproteobacteria.
AGAGUUUGAUCCUGGCUCAGGACGAACGCUGGCGGCGUGCUUAACACAUGCAAGUCGAACGAAGAUAUGUUGAAAGCUUGCUGAUACAUAUUUUAGUGGCGGACGGGUGAGUAACGCGUGGGUAAUCUACCCUUGGAUCUUGGAUAACAUAUCGAAAGGUGUGCUAAUACGGGAUGAAGUCUUGCUGGAUGAGUCUGGCGAGAUGAAAGUUCGCGCAAGCGGAUGUCCGGGGAUGAGCCUGCGUACCAUUAGCUAGUUGGUGGGGUAAAGGCUUACCAAGGCAACGAUGGUUAGCUGGUCUGAGAGGAUGAUCAGYC